Molecule: ribosomal RNA, 1423 nt
Filed under: human gut metagenome
Description: bacterial LSU rRNA
Rfam family: Bacterial large subunit ribosomal RNA
Source: RNAcentral
UGAAACCAUACGCUUACAACCGGUCGGAGCAGCUUCGUGCUGUGACGGCGUGCCUUUUGCAUAAUGAGCCUACGAGUUAGUCAUCACCAGCGAGGUUAAGUACUUCAGGUACGUAAGCCGAAGCGAAAGCGAGUCUGAAUAGGGCGUCAAGUUGGUGGUGGUAGACGCGAAACCUUAGUGAUCUACCCAUGGGCAGGGUGAAGGUUUGGUAACACAAACUGGAGGCCCGAACCGGUAAACGUUGAAAAGUUUUCGGAUGACCUGUGGGUAGGGGUGAAAGGCCAAUCAAACUGGGAAAUAGCUCGUACUCUCCGAAAUGCAUUUAGGUGCAGCCUCUGUAGUUUUGUUCUAGAGGUAGAGCUACUGAUUGGAUGCGAGGGCUUCACCGCCUAUCAAGUCCAGAUAAACUCCGAAUGCGCGAUAUAUAUUUACAGGGAGUGAGGGCGCGGGUGCUAAGGUCCGUGUCCGAGAGGAGAAGAAUCCAGACCACCGGCUAAGGCCCCCAAAUGAUCGUUAAGUUGAACUAACGAGGUCGGAUCGCAGAGACAGCUAGGAUGUUGGCUUGGAAGCAGCCAUUCAUUUAAAGAGUGCGUAACAGCUCACUAGUCGAGCGAUCUGGCGUGGAUAAUAAUCGGGCAUAAACGAUCUGCCGAAGCCGUGGAUGUCGCAAGACAUGGUAGGGGAGCAUUCCAUGCCGCGUCGAAGAUGAGGGAUGACCCUUGUUGGAGCGCAUGGAAAAGCAAAUGUAGGUAUGAGUAACGAUAAGGGGGGCGAGAAACCCCCCCGCCGAAAGACCAAGGUUUCCUGAUCAACGCUAAUCGGAUCAGGGUGAGUCGGGACCUAAGGCAAAGCCGAACGGCGCCGCCGAUGGAAGAAUGGGUUAAUAUUCCCAUACUGCCUCAUGGAGUGACGUGGAGACGGAGAAGUGACAGUCCUGCCGGCUGACGGAAUAGCCGGUUGAAGGGUGUAGAUAUUGAUUCCCGUAGGCAAAUCCGCGGGGAGAGUCGAACCUGAGAGUAUACGGAGCGCUUGCGCGACGUAAUAUGGACGUAACCAUGCUCCCGAGAAAAUCCGCUAAACUUAUCCAUGCGGCACCCGUACCGUAAACGGACACACGUGGUCGGGUUGAGAAUACUGAGGCGCUCGAGUGAUUCACGGUUAAGGAACUAGGCAAAUUGACCCUGUAACUUCGGGAUAAAGGGUCCUCGUCGUAAGGCGAGGCGCAGAGAAUAGGUCCAGGCAACUGUUUAACAAAAACACAUGGCUGUGCUAAAUGGAAACAUGAUGUAUACAGCCUGACACCUGCCCGGUGCCGGAAGGUUAAGAGGAGAUGUCAUCCGCGAGGAGAAGCGUUGAAUUGAAGCCCCGGUAAACGGCGGCCGUAACUAUAACGGUCCUAAGGUAGCGAAAUUCCUUGUCGGGU